UUUUUCCUGCUUAGUGCGUGAUAAGGCGAUAUAUUCGAGCGACACUUAUAAAACGGAGUCCAAUAUCCAAUAUCGGGAUGCAGGCCUCCCACACCUUCCCUCUUAAUGAGGCUUUUGCCGGACUGGAAGAAUGUGGACGUUGGAAGCAACAAAGAUAUUAUGAGGACACCACCCUUGUUUAAAACAAAGGUUCUGAAAGUUGCUUUACACGGCUACGCGGGUCUUAC
This 227-nucleotide non-coding RNA is filed under the name Clostridia bacterium. Its description in RNAcentral is "6S RNA". It matches the Rfam family "6S / SsrS RNA". Rfam says of the family: E. coli 6S RNA was the first non coding RNA to be sequenced, but its function was unknown until recently. Lineage: Bacteria; Bacillati; Bacillota; Clostridia. The record is from RNAcentral.